Molecule: ribosomal RNA, 276 nt
Filed under: uncultured bacterium
Lineage: Bacteria
Description: partial 16S ribosomal RNA
Source: RNAcentral
CUGCUGCCUCCCGUAGGAGUCUGGUCCGUGUCUCAGUACCAGUGUGGGGGGCCUUCCUCUCAGAACCCCUACGCAUCGUCGCCUCGGUGGGCCGUUACCCCGCCGACUAGCUAAUGCGCCGCAUGCCCAUCCGUGGCCGGGAUUGCUCCCUUUGGCGGCCUUGGGAUGCCCCAAGGCCGCGUUACGCGGUAUUAGACGGGGUUUCCCCCGCUUAUCCCCCUGCCACGGGCAGGUUGCAUACGUGUUACUCACCCGUGCGCCGGCCGCCGGCAACGG